RNAcentral lists this ribosomal RNA (659 nucleotides) under uncultured fungus. RNAcentral describes it as "eukaryotic LSU rRNA". It matches the Rfam family "Eukaryotic large subunit ribosomal RNA", at positions 24 to 664 of the family's 3401-position model. Lineage: Eukaryota; Fungi. The record is from RNAcentral.
CCCGCUGAACUUAAGCAUAUCAAUAAGCGGAGGAAAAGAAACUAACAAGGAUUCCCCUAGUAACUGCGAGUGAAGCGGGAAAAGCUCAAAUUUAAAAUCUGGCGGCCUUUGGCCAUCCGAGUUGUAAUUUAGAGAAGCGUCUUCCGCGCUGGACCGUGCACAAGUCUCCUGGAACGGAGCGUCAUAGAGGGUGAGAAUCCCGUCUUUGGCAUGGACAUCCCAGGGCUUUUGUGAUGCGCUCUCGAAGAGUCGAGUUGUUUGGGAAUGCAGCUCAAAAUGGGUGGUGAACUCCAUCUAAAGCUAAAUAUUGGCGAGAGACCGAUAGCGAACAAGUACCGUGAGGGAAAGAUGAAAAGCACUUUGGAAAGAGAGUGAAACAGUACGUGAAAUUGCUGAAAGGGAAACGCUUGAAGUCAGUCGCGUCGUUCAGGACUCAGCCUUGCUUUGCUUGGUGUACUUUCUGUUCGACGGGUCAGCAUCAAUUUUGGUCGGUGGAUAAAGGCUCAGAGAAUGUGGCAUCUUCGGGUGUGUUAUAGCUCUGGGUCGCAUACAUCGGCUGGGAUUGAGGAACUCAGCACGCCGCAAGGCCGGGUACUUGUACCACGUACGUGCUUAGGAUGCUGGCAUAAUGGCUUUAAUCGACCCGUCUUGAAACACGG